Long non-coding RNA from Mercenaria mercenaria, 1613 nucleotides. RefSeq lists it as uncharacterized. NCBI's taxonomy places the organism in Eukaryota, Metazoa, Mollusca, Bivalvia, Venerida, Veneridae. The record is from RefSeq and is a predicted model, not a curated record. The transcript has 12 exons.
AGUUGACAUAAGACACUGUGACAUACUAUACAAAAUAUGAUACAGGAGGCUUGUAUUUUGGAUGAGAGGGGAAAGAACACAUUUGUUACUUUGGGCAUUGUGUGAAGUAACAGUGAAGCAGAAUAUCUACAGACUAUGAAGUUGAGAAAUGAAGAGAUGCAGCUGUAAAUUGUUUAAUACGGCGUGUGGGGAAAACAUAGUGGAUAUGAAGUUGAGAAAUGAAGAGAUGCAGCUGUAAAUUGUUUAAUACGGUGUAUGUGGGAAACAUGGUGGAUAUGAAGCAUAGAAAUCAUGUGACAAUGUGAAGUAACAGUAACAGAAUGGCUGGAGACCAUUAACUUAAGAAUUGAAGAGAUGCAGGUCUUUGUUCUACAUGGUGAUUGGUGGAACCAUAUGGUACAGUUUUGAAUUGAUAAGGCAUGAAGUUACAGAAAAGCAGAAUAGCUACAGACCAUGAAAUUUAGAAAAUGAAGAGAUGCAUGUCUCAGUUCAGCAUGGUGUAUAUGGGAAACAUUGUGUAUGGCAGACAUGAAAUAAUUUGUGUGAAGUAACAGUAAAGCAGAAUGGCUACAGACUAUUAAUUCAGAAUUGAAGAGAUGCAGGUUUUUGUUUUAUAUGGUGUAUGAGGGAACUAUGGUGGAUUUCAUGGCAGUCAUAGAAAUACCUAAUAAGUCUGUAAGACAGUGAUGAGUGUACCAGUCUGUCAGGCUAUUACGUGUCUGUCGAGUCGACAAAUUUGCAAUGGAUGCAUAGAUUCUCAAAUAAUUGGGCAGAGUUUUUACAUUUACUAAGACAGAUUGCAAAAGACUUUUGCACCCAAAAACCUGAAAUGAGAGCGCUUGGACAAUGUGAAGUUUGUUGCAUAGACGGGGAUUGACCGCCUUUGUAUAUACAAGUCUACAACUUUUCAGAUUGACCGAAGACAAUUGUUUGGUGUUGGGAAUGGAUGUUGUUUGGCCGGUGGCUUUCCAAUCACACAGAAGAUACUGGUUGGAUCACAAGAAGGGUCAUUUCAAUUGAUAUUAGUCACCGGAAAAAUUAGGAAAACCACUUGUUGAUAUUUUAUUUAAGAGAAAUAUAUGAAGUAGAGCUCUGCAGUUUUCCAUAAACUCACCAAGAAGUUCACAGUUUUUGCACAGAUUUGUGACUCACAUAUAUGGCCUUGAAGGAAUUGUUACAGGAAAAGUGUAAAAAAGGAUAUGGUGGAAUUGCAAUUCCUGGUGCUGUUUUUGGUGUUUUAAUGGGAGGUUUUCUAUUAAAAAGGUUUCAGAUGGGACCUAAAGGUGCAAUCCAGUUGACAAUCUUGUUAGAUCUUUUAGCACUCAUUGGAUGUGGAUUUUUCUUUUUCCUGGGGUGCGAAAAUCUCAAAAUUGCUGGCGCCACAUUCCCAUACUUUAACAGUUCUGGUUACAAUUUAGUGGAAGAUUAUGAAUUUGAAGCAAAUUUGACGUCCACAUGUAACAUGUAUUGCGAUUGUUCAAACAAUGACCUUGAACCUAUCUGUGGUAUAAACGGAUUGACCUACUUCUCACCAUGUCAUGCUGGAUGCACACAGUUUAACACCAAUGAAGUUGCUCCUGAUGAAAAAAUUAUGGUAAAAUGAUAAACGUAUU